Non-coding RNA from Xyrichtys novacula (pearly razorfish), 631 nucleotides. NCBI's taxonomy places the organism in Eukaryota, Metazoa, Chordata, Actinopteri, Labriformes, Labridae. The record is from the annotation of a GenBank genome assembly.
AUGGAAUUGUAUUCCAUGCUUGCUGACGACACGACCAAGGGGGAGCAUGUAGAUGGUGAAGAGGGUUGGACCGAGCACGGAGCCCUGGGGGACCCCACAGACAACAGUGUGAGGGCGGGAUUUAGCAUCCCCCAGGGCCACGAACUCGGUCCUUCCCGUGAGGUAGGAGUGAAACCAUUGAAGGGUGGUGCCAGAGAUACCAAUGUCGUGAUGGAGGCGAUGAAGGAGGAUGUGGUGAUCAACAGUAUCAAAUGCAGCAGAGGUCGAGAAGGAUGAGGAGGGACGUGGAGCUGGAGUCAGAGGUCAUCAGGAGGUCAUUGGUGACUCUGAUGAGAGCUGUCUCGGUGCUGUGGGAGGGACGAAAGCCAGAUUGGAAUUUUUCAUAUAGACUGUUUGAUUUAAGAUGGUUGUGAAGUUGGAUGGAUACAAUUCUUUCGAGAGUUUUGGAGAUGAAGGGGAGAUUGGAGAUAGGUCUGUAGUUUGACAGGGAGCUAGGAUCAAGAGUGGGUUUUUUGAGGAGGGGCUUGAUGAUAGCUGUUUUGAGGCUGACUGGAACAUGGCCGGUUUGAAGAGAGAGAUUUAUUAUGUUUGUUAUUAGUUGACUGAUGGAAUGACAGUGAGCUUUAAGCAG